AAGUCAUAACAAGGUUUCCGUAGGUGAACCUGCGGAAGGAUCAAUGGAGAUCGCCGAAAGGCAUCACACACACAGUGCACCCUUGCAGACAUUUAGGUCGAGAACGUAUGCAUCUUAAAUGAAACAA
RNAcentral lists this unclassified non-coding RNA (127 nucleotides) under plant metagenome. RNAcentral describes it as "partial contains small subunit ribosomal RNA and internal transcribed spacer 1". The stretch from base 1 to 46 matches the Rfam family "Eukaryotic small subunit ribosomal RNA", at positions 1786 to 1831 of the family's 1831-position model. The record is from RNAcentral.